GCGGAGGAAAAGAAACCAACAGGGAUUGCCCUAGUAACGGCGAGUGAAGCGGCAACAGCUCAAAUUUGAAAUCUGGCCUCGGCCCGAGUUGUAAUUUGUAGAGGAAGCUUUUGGCGCGGCACCUUCUGAGUCCCCUGGAACGGGGCGCCAUAGAGGGUGAGAGCCCCGUAUAGUUGGAUGCCUAGCCUCUGUAAAGCUCCUUCGACGAGUCGAGUAGUUUGGGAAUGCUGCUCAAAACGGGAGGUAAAUUUCUUCUAAAGCUAAAUACCGGCCAGAGACCGAUAGCGCACAAGUAGAGUGAUCGAAAGAUGAAAAGCACUUUGAAAAGAGGGUUAAAUAGCACGUGAAAUUGUUGAAAGGGAAGCGCUUGUGACCAGACUUGCGCCGGGCUGAUCAUCCGGUGUUCUCACCGGUGCACUCUGCCCGGCUCAGGCCAGCAUCGGUUCUCGCGGGGGGAUAAAGGCCCUGGGAACGUAGCUCCUCCGGGAGUGUUAUAGCCCAGGGCGCAAUGCCCUCGCGGGGACCGAGGUUCGCGCUCUGCAAGGAUGCUGGCGUAAUGGUCACCAGCGACCCGUCUUGA
Molecule: ribosomal RNA, 580 nt
Filed under: Madurella pseudomycetomatis (nom. inval.)
Lineage: Eukaryota; Fungi; Ascomycota; Sordariomycetes; Sordariales
Description: LSU rRNA
Rfam family: Eukaryotic large subunit ribosomal RNA
Source: RNAcentral